Molecule: ribosomal RNA, 200 nt
Filed under: uncultured bacterium
Lineage: Bacteria
Description: partial 16S ribosomal RNA
Rfam family: Bacterial small subunit ribosomal RNA
Source: RNAcentral
AUUGAACGCUGGCGGCAUGCCUUACACAUGCAAGUCGAACGGCAGCACGGGAGCAAUCCUGGUGGCGAGUGGCGAACGGGUGAGUGAUAUAUCGGAACGUGCCCAGUCGUGGGGGAUAACGCAGCGAAAGCUGUGCUACUACCGCAUACGAUCUAUGGAUGAAAGCGGGGGAUCGCAAGACCUCGCGCGAUUGGAGCGGC